Solanum pennellii is the source of this 819-nucleotide long non-coding RNA. RefSeq lists it as uncharacterized. The transcript is spliced from 3 exons. Lineage: Eukaryota; Viridiplantae; Streptophyta; Magnoliopsida; Solanales; Solanaceae. The record is from RefSeq and is a predicted model, not a curated record.
UUUUUUAAAGAAAAAGGCAUAAUUCAUCAGCGUUCUUGUCCAUAUACACCAGAACAAAAUGGUGUGGUGGAACGUAAUAAUAGACAUGUUGUUGAAACUGUCUUAUCCCUUCAUGAUACUUCAAAAGUUUCGAAAAUAUUUUGGGUUGAAGCAAUCCAAACAUCUAUUUAAAUCAUAAAUAGACAAUCAUCCUCGAUCAUGAAACAAAAUUGUCCUUAUUUUAUUCUUUUCAAAAAAAAAUUGUUUGACUUUUACAUCUUAAUGUAUUUGGUUGUGUGCUUUGUUCUUCUUCAAGGUCAUGAACGUCAUAAAUUAUCUUCAAAAGUCGUUAAAUGUGUUUUCUUAUGAUACAAUGAUAUUCAAAAGGGGUAUUUGUGUUAUGAUUCAACACGUCGUUCAUUAUGAAUCUCACGCUAUCUUCCUGCUGGUCCUUCGUCGACCAUGUCCUCUACCAUAUCAGAUUGCGAGCCUGGAUUUCUGUGGUACUUAUCAUUCUCUUCUUUUUCGAGGCUUCUUGGAGAUUUGUAAGGUAGUUGUUUGUCGUCUCAGUGGACUUUCUCUCUCCUUAGUUAUGAUCUUGUUCUAUUCUAGAAACAAGUUCAUUUGAGACUAGUGUUUGCUUUGAUUCAAUUGUAAUACUUUAGAGACUUGUACACGCGACAACCACGUUUUUGGGGUAGUUUUAAGUUGAUUGUAAAAUUUCCGCAUUUUUGGGUCGUGACAUGUGAGAAUGAUUUUGGGGUCUUCUUUUGAAAAAUUAAUUAUAUUAGGAUUGUAAAAUAAUUAUAAUUAUAUUAGGACACAUUAUAUUUGCUAAAA